This is a long non-coding RNA of Tribolium madens (black flour beetle), 249 nucleotides long. RefSeq lists it as uncharacterized. The record is from RefSeq and is a predicted model, not a curated record. The transcript is spliced from 3 exons. Lineage: Eukaryota; Metazoa; Arthropoda; Insecta; Coleoptera; Tenebrionidae.
GAGAGUCGUUCCCUGAAAUCCGCGUUGCACUCUGACAGCUGACAGUCCUCUGGUUUUGAAGGGGUCCGCCAUUGGACAAGCGAUGUAUGGAAAACAAGAAAAUCUCUUUUAUAAUGAUGAUGUAUUCCAUAUCAUUGGCGAUGCGGCGUAUCCAUGUAAAACCUGGCUUUUAACGCCUUAUAGACAAACUGGAAGGCUCACACAACAACAAGCCAAAUACAACAAACAAUUGAGUAGCGUACGUGUGGU